This 526-nucleotide ribosomal RNA is filed under the name uncultured bacterium. RNAcentral's name for it is "bacterial SSU rRNA". It matches the Rfam family "Bacterial small subunit ribosomal RNA", at positions 8 to 525 of the family's 1533-position model. The record is from RNAcentral.
AGAGUUUGAUCCUGGCUCAGAUUGAACGCUGGCGGCAUGCUUUACACAUGCAAGUCGAACGGCAGCACGGAGAGCUUGCUCUCUGGUGGCGAGUGGCGAACGGGUGAGUAAUACAUCGGAACGUGCCCUGUAGUGGGGGAUAACUACUCGAAAGAGUGGCUAAUACCGCAUACAACCUGAGGGUAAAAGUGGGGGACCGCAAGGCCUCACGCUAUAGGAGCGGCCGAUGGAAGAUUAGGUAGUUGGUAGGGUAAAGGCCUACCAAGCCGACGAUCUUUAGCGGGUCUGAGAGGACGAUCCGCCACACUGGGACUGAGACACGGCCCAGACUCCUACGGGAGGCAGCAGUGGGGAAUUUUGGACAAUGGGGGCAACCCUGAUCCAGCCAUUCCGCGUGAGUGAAGAAGGCCUUCGGGUUGUAAAGCUCUUUCAGCAGGAACGAAACGGCGAGCUCUAACAUAGCUCGUUAAUGACGGUACCUGAAGAAGAAGCACCGGCUAACUACGUGCCAGCAGCCGCGGUAAUA